Molecule: long non-coding RNA, 319 nt
Filed under: Pan troglodytes (chimpanzee)
Lineage: Eukaryota; Metazoa; Chordata; Mammalia; Primates; Hominidae
Description: long non-coding RNA NONPTRT013533
Source: RNAcentral
UCCCGCUCUCCUCCCGCUCUCCUCCCGCCUCCUUCUUCCAGGCGCGGCCAGCGGGGGCAAGAGCGAGGUGGCUGCGAGGAGGCGUCACUGAAAGCCCUGACUUGGGGAAGGCUGCGGGCUCGGAGCCGGAGACGCCGAGCUGGGGCCGGGUGAGUUGGGAAGCAGACUCUUGAGUUGACAGCUGGCCUAUGGUUUCUGCAUUUUGUUAAGAAGCACCUCAUGCAAGUGAGGGACCUGGGACUGCUCACAGCCAGGUGGCAUUUUUCUGAAACUGUUGAUUAAGACUUCCCAGCAUUCCUACAGAUAUAAAUAGGUAAGU